GCUCCAGUGGCGCAAUCGGUUAGCGCGCCGUACUUUUUAUGCGGAGGUUGUGAGUUCAAGCCUCACCUGGAGCA
RNAcentral lists this transfer RNA (74 nucleotides) under Ciona intestinalis (vase tunicate). Its description in RNAcentral is "tRNA-Lys (TTT) (tRNA-Lys-TTT-4-1)". It matches the Rfam family "tRNA". From Rfam's summary of the family: Transfer RNA (tRNA) molecules are approximately 80 nucleotides in length. Their secondary structure includes four short double-helical elements and three loops (D, anti-codon, and T loops). Lineage: Eukaryota; Metazoa; Chordata; Ascidiacea; Phlebobranchia; Cionidae. The record is from RNAcentral.